UCUCCGUAGGUGAACCUGCGGAGGGAUCAUUACAAGUGACCCCGGUCUUACCACCGGGAUGUUCAUAACCCUUUGUUGUCCGACUCUGUUGCCUCCGGGGCGACCCUGCCUUCGGGCGGGGGCUCCGGGUGGACACUUCAAACUCUUGCGUAACUUUGCAGUCUGAGUAAACUUAAUUAAUAAAUUAAAACUUUUAACAACGGAUCUCUUGGUUCUGGCAUCGAUAAAGAACGCAGC
RNAcentral lists this unclassified non-coding RNA (237 nucleotides) under plant metagenome. RNAcentral describes it as "partial contains small subunit ribosomal RNA, internal transcribed spacer 1, and 5.8S ribosomal RNA". The stretch from base 189 to 237 matches the Rfam family "5.8S ribosomal RNA", at positions 1 to 49 of the family's 154-position model. The record is from RNAcentral.